CCUACGGGGGGCAGCAGUGAGGAAUAUUGGUCAAUGGACGAGAGUCUGAACCAGCCAAGUAGCGUGAAGGAUGACUGCCCUAUGGGUUGUAAACUUCUUUUAUAAAGGAAUAAAACGAGGCACGUGUGCCUUUUUGCAUGUACUUUAUGAAUAAGGAUCGGCUAACUCCGUGCCAGCAGCCGCGGUAAUACGGAGGAUCCGAGCGUUAUCCGGAUUUAUUGGGUUUAAAGGGAGCGUAGAUGGGUUGUUAAGUCAGUUGUGAAAGUUUGCGGCUCAACCGUAAAAUUGCAAUUGAUACUGGCAGUCUUGAGUACAGUUGAGGUAGGCGGAAUGCGUGGUGUAGCGGUGAAAUGCAUAGAGAUCACGAAGAACCCCGAUUGCGAAGGCAGCUUACUAAACUGUGACUGACAUUGAUGCUCGAAAGUGUGGGUAGCAAACAGGAUUAGAUACCCCUGUAGUC
RNAcentral lists this ribosomal RNA (460 nucleotides) under uncultured bacterium. Its description in RNAcentral is "partial 16S ribosomal RNA". It matches the Rfam family "Bacterial small subunit ribosomal RNA", at positions 338 to 795 of the family's 1533-position model. The record is from RNAcentral.